UAUCCGUUAAUGUAAAGAGCAUAAAAAGUUUUGAUCUUUUUAGAGAUGGUGCGAUUCCAUCACGUAUAA
RNAcentral lists this transfer RNA (69 nucleotides) under Macrophthalmus darwinensis. RNAcentral describes it as "tRNA-Gln". The record is from RNAcentral. Lineage: Eukaryota; Metazoa; Arthropoda; Malacostraca; Decapoda; Macrophthalmidae.